RNAcentral lists this ribosomal RNA (460 nucleotides) under uncultured bacterium. Its description in RNAcentral is "partial 16S ribosomal RNA". It matches the Rfam family "Bacterial small subunit ribosomal RNA", at positions 338 to 795 of the family's 1533-position model. The record is from RNAcentral.
CCUACGGGUGGCAGCAGUGAGGAAUAUUGGUCAAUGGGCGGAAGCCUGAACCAGCCAAGUCGCGUGAGGGAUUAAGGCCCUGCGGGUCGUAAACCUCUUUUGCCGGGGAGCAGUGGUCCGGACGCGUCCGGACCGGGAGAGUACCCGGAGAAAAAGCAUCGGCUAACUCCGGGCCAGCAGCCGCGGUAAUACGGGGGAUGCGAGGGUUAUCCGGAUUUAUUGGGUUUAAGGGGUGCGUGGGCGGGCAUUUAAGCCGGCGGGAAAAUGUCGGGGCUAAACCCCGGCCUGCCGUUGGAACUGGGUGGCUUGAGUGGGCGAGAAGUAUGCGGAAUGCGUGGUGUAGCGGUGAAAUGCAUAGAUAUCACGAAGAACCCCGAUUGCGAAGGCAGCAUACCGGCGCCCUACUGACGCUGAGGCACGAAAGUGCGGGUAUCGAACAGGAUUAGAUACCCUGGUAGUC